CUCAGGUUCCCGGGCUGCUGCCGGACGCGCGUCGGUUAGUUCCUGUGCACCAGUCCCCGCCGUUUCUCCGCCAGCAUGCCGAUGUUCGUGGUGAACACCAACGUCCCCCGCGCCUCCGUGCCGGACGGGCUCCUUUCCGAGCUCACUCAGCAGCUGGCACAGGCCACCGGCAAGCCGGCCCAGUACACAUCGCGGUGCACGAGGUCCCAGACCAGCUCAUGGCCUUCGGGGCUCAAGUGAGCCGUGCGCGCUCUGCAGUCUGCACAGCAUCGGCAAGAUCGGAGGCGCGCAGAACCGCUCCUACAGCAAACUGCUGUGCGGCCUACUGGCCGAGCGCCUGCGCGUCAGCCCGGAUAGGAGAGUGGGGCGGCGGGGAACCUACAUCAACUACUACGACAUGAACACGGCCAACGUUGGCUGGAACGGCUCUACCAUCGCGUGA
Molecule: RNA transcript, 442 nt
Organism: Odobenus rosmarus divergens (Pacific walrus)
Lineage: Eukaryota; Metazoa; Chordata; Mammalia; Carnivora; Odobenidae
Gene name: macrophage migration inhibitory factor-like
Exons: 2
Source: RefSeq, a predicted model, not a curated record